Molecule: unclassified non-coding RNA, 230 nt
Filed under: Hevea brasiliensis (rubber tree)
Lineage: Eukaryota; Viridiplantae; Streptophyta; Magnoliopsida; Malpighiales; Euphorbiaceae
Source: RNAcentral
GAGACAGAGAGAGAGAGAGAGGGAGAAUGAAGUAUAGGGUUUAUAGGCAAACUCAUGAACAAAAGUUGGAAAAAUCUUUGAGAGAAUAAUCUUGAUCCUACAAAGCAGAGUUCACAGCUUCAUCAAAAAAUAAAUGAAAAACUACACAGUUUGUUCACCAUGGAACAAACCUCCAUUCAUGAUGCUGCCUGUUCAGCCUUUUUACACUCUAAAAGCUUUAGCUCCUGGCG